AAAGAAGCAGAGAGGAGGAAGGGCAGAGAUGGUUCUGGAAUUCGAUCCCGCCUUCAUCCAAGCCCCCGAGCACCGCCCCAAGCCCGCCGUCGCCGAGGCCGGCAGCAUCCCCCUCAUCGAUCUCUCCCCUCUCCACCUCCUCGAACAACACGGGGGACCACUGGUGGAGGGGUUGGAGGUGUUGGUGGCGCAGGUGGAGGCGGCUUGCCGUGAAUGGGGCUUCUUCCAGGUGAUCAACCAUGGGGUGCCGCCGACAGUGGUGGAACGAGCGUGGGCCGCGUCGAGGGGGUUCUUCGCGCUGCCGCCGGAGGAGAGGCGGCGUGUGCGGCGGGACGAGGUGAACCCGCUGGGGUACUACGAGGCGGAGAACACCAAGAAUGUCCGGGACUGGAAGGAGGUGUUCGAUUUCGUGGUCCACGAGCGAGCCGUCAUCCCUUCCCCUGGCGACGCCGGUGGAGGCGUCGAUAGGCUGAUCGAACUGCGCAACCAGUGGCCGCAGUUACCCCAUGGAUUCAGGUAAAGUUAGGUUCUGGAUCUGCAGAACGAAUUAGAGGGGUUGGAAAUUUCAAGCUCUGCUUCUUCAUCUGUGAUGGAUAGGGAAGCACUUGUUGAGUACGCUCAGGCCACGGAGGAGUUGGCUUUCACACUGCUGGAGCUGAUAUCACUAACCUUGAGCUUGCCGCCAAAGCGACUGCACGGCUUCUUCAAGGACCAGACCAGCUUCAUCAGGCUCAAUCACUACCCGCCCUGCCCCUCCCCUCACCUCGCCCUCGGAGUCGGCCGCCACAAGGACUCCGGAGCCCUCACCAUCCUCGCUCAGGACGACGUCGGCGGCCUCGACGUAAGGAGGCGGUCCGACGGCGAGUGGGUUCGCGUCAAGCCCAUCCCCAACUCCUUCAUCAUCAACGUCGGUGACAUCGUUCAGGUGAUCAAUCUUCUCCUCAACUCUGCAUGCGUCGAGUCCAUCCUAACACUUCUCGGCGAUCGCAGGUGUGGAGCAAUGACAAGUACGAGAGUGCAGAGCACAGGGUGUCGGUGAACUCCGAGAGGGAGAGGUUCUCCAUACCCUUCUUCUUCAACCCGGCGCACUACGUGAUGGUGAAGCCAUUGGCAGAGCUGGUAGACGAGAAGAACCCGGCCAACUACGAGGAGUUCAACUGGGGGGAGUUCUUCAAGACACGGAAGAACAGCAACUUCAAGAAGCUGGAUGUGGAGAACAUCCAGAUCUAUCAUUUCAAGAAGGCCAAGUGAUGUGGGAGUCUGCAAACGGAUUAUAAGUACGCGAGGCAGUAGGAUUAAUGAUGAAAUAAAAUCCAGUUGAAAUGUGGUGUAUUGAAUGAUAAACUGCAAAAUUGGAGUUGCUAUUAAUAUAACGCAAGUGAUAUUAGAGAGGACUUGUUUGCAUGAUCAUAGAGUCUUGACUAAGUGCGCCAAUUUUAUUGCGAUGUUUCUAUUUCAAUUUACUAUAUAGUGCUUGUAAUAGAUAAGACUGGAUAUCCUUUCAUGAUGCUAUCGAGAUCUAUCAUCGAUUGGACGAGGGUUCUAUGCUGGGGUAAAUUAGGUAUUUUGAUGGCCGAGGUAGUACACUUUGCACAAUCAAGAGCUUGCAUAUGGUUAGAUCGCCACUUGGUAAAAUAUUGGAAGCCGAUCAAAUCACGAGUGAUUAUUUUAGAAUUCUUAAUUUUUUAAGAAGGGAUCAAGUUCCACGUGGGAUUACAAAUAUGAUUUAGAUUAGUGGUGCAUAGAGAAUUAGAAUUUGUUAAUAUAAGUACUCAAAAAUUAGUAUUUCGAUUUUACAUAAUAUAAUUUAUAAAAUUUAUUUAUUGAUUUCUCUUUUUUUAGUUGUCGCUUUCAGUUAUGUUCCUGUCACUUUUGUCUUCCAUUGAUGUUUUAUUAAAAAAUAAAAUAGAUAGUUUACUCUUGGUAGAAUUGAUCAUCGUAAGAAUUUGAUAACUAUUAUCUUUUAUUAAUCUUCUUUGAAGUGUCUUUAAAUAUAUGUAGAGCUUCUCUGCUUGAUAAAUAAAAGAAUUUAGAUUCUCGAUUUUGCCUUUGAGUUGAGAAGAUAAAAUUUAAUAGACUUCGCUCGUCUCCUUGAGAGUUGUCCUCUAUGCAUCAAAUUAGUUACUAGUCUUCGCAUGCUCUUUGUUCACAAUUCUGAAGCACUCGAAGUAUUUGUACUCCUUGUGUUAAGUUAGCUACUAUAAUUUGCCUAUUUAUUACCAUCAAAUUUCUCGAAUGCAAAAAGUUUUACCUAAAAAGAGUAAAAUUUUACCCCGACUUGGAGCAAGUUUAUAAUAGUUUUGGUUGUCUCUAAGACUAUACCAUCUUCUUUAUCAUUUUUAUCGCAUACACCUAUGCCUAAAAAAUAUAUAAUACACCUAUGAAUAGAGUCGCUCGAAAGUAAGAAUGGGUGAAACCGAGUGAAGGUGUCAUCGACUCGAAAUCAUCAAUAAUGUUGGUACGUGGUGUUGAAAAGGUGUCAACGAAAGUGAGGGACAUGUUAAGAUGAUGGGCAAAACCUUUUCUGAGUAGAAAAUAUCAACAAACUUUUCAUCAAAAUAGUCAAAAGUGAAAAAGACAAUCGGUGUUAACAAGCACUCCUACAUUGACCUAAAGUCUCAUGCUUUCAACAAUCUUAAUGAGAAGCUCAUUGAUAUUGAUCUUAUAAAGUUCCCCAGCCUCUAUCCAUUGGUCUUGUUUCAGUACUUGAAGAGUUUAUCUCUACAUUCUCAACUUCUUCGGCAUUUUUUAUGAUCAUGCGCUUUCUCUUCAUGAAAGCAAUGGAUCAAUAAUUCCAUGAAAGUCUCAUCUCUAUGGUACUAUAGUGCUGCCAUACCCAUGACUCUACAAUCUGUCAUCUCACAUUUGUGUCCCUUUAUUCAUAAUCAAUAUAUUUGCCUCAACGGCAAUAUAACACUUCUCCGAGUCUUAUCUUUAUUUUAAUUGAUGCUUCAUUUUUUGGUAGCUAAGACCCUCUAGACUCGUCGUUGCUUCCUUCCCUCUUUUGACCACUUACUUCAACACAUAUGUGUUCCUCCGAGCAGUUCCCCUUGGCUUAAGAAAAGAUAAACUAUAACUCUCAUGCAUGAUGUUCGACAUCAUUUUAUAGGUCCCAUAUUGAUUUUGUUCUCCUUUGUGUCCUUGGUAGCAACGCCCACUUACUCGAUCUUGUCCUCUAAUUUAUUGGGCUUCCGAAGUGAAUAUAAGCUCUAGUGUAAUCCAACUUUCUAGCCACUCUGAUCAUACCUUUUAUGAUCAAGUCUCUCAUGGGAUUUAUUGGUACUUACAUACGGAAUCCCCCUUGGUAAUAUAUAGCCCCCAUAUGUUGAUGACAAAGGCUUUCAUUCAAUACAAAAUUUGAUACACACACGGAAGACCUACAUCUAUGGUAUAAUGAUAUUUAUUCUUUGAAUCCAUAAUCCUUCUUGCCAUCAUAUUGUUCACCGAAGUGGAGGUCUCAAUAGCGCCCGAUCAUACUUCUAUAUGAUUAAAUCCCUCACAAAAAUUCUAUCGUGUGUCAAAUUGCUUUGAACUAUCCUACUAUGAUCUAUUGCACCAUGUCGGCUCUUAGUGACAUCUCCAUUAUAUUAUGAUCUUUGUAAGAUGAAUUCGGACGGUAAUCUCUCCAUGUGUGGCCUCUAUCAAUAUAUCGUAAGGCAUCUAUGACUUUUGAGUGUGUUCGUUUCUUUAGUAAUUAACUUUCGUCCAUCCGGUCACACAUUGACAAAGCAUAACUCUAAGACAAGACAGUCUAUUAUUUAGUAGCUCUCGAAGUUCAUUGAUUUUAUUGAAACUGGUGUGUUAUUGUCUUGAUCUUAGGCCUUUGUCUCCAACAUAAUCUUCGUUAUGCAUAGCUUCAUUUUUGAUAACUCGAAUGGUAGCAUUAUGAUAUAUUAUUCAAGAGUACCAUCUUUUGCGGUCUCUUGUCUCAUACUAAGGCCUUUUGACCUAAACUUCACCUCCACAAGAUGAGUCACUUUAAUCCUAUCGUUAAUUGCUUCACAGAGAUAAGGUGAAUGUUGCUCAAAGCUCUUUUUGACUUUGGCAUAAUGCAAGAUGAGUUCACUCCAUUAGAACGAGGGAUCCAUGGAAUGAUAUAACCUUACUCUUGCCUUUGUAAGAGUUCAUGUCCUUGACCUCUAUCACGGAAAACUUCAUAUCUCUAUUCUAUGUUCUAUCUUCUAUAUCGACUCCUUUCAUACAAUUUGGGCACUUCACCAAGUUCUACCCAAGUUGCUUCGUUCAUUGAUUUGCAUUGAAUUGAUAGUGACCCUCAUGCCUACAUUCCAUGGGUCAACCAUCCCUUGUAUUCGAUCUUCAUAUCAACUCUAAGUAUACAUUUAUUUGAUGUUGCUUAGGGUCACUCUUCUAAUUGAUCUCAUAAUGCAUUUACCAACACAUUAUUUCGUGCAAGAUCAUGUAAUGACUUCUCAUCAUUCACUUGGUCCAAUGAGCUUUAUGGAGCUAUCAUUUUGAGGUAUUCAAUCAAUAUGUGCGAUCAGUUACAUAUGAUUCUCCUUUUAGAGAAUCAAAACUUAUCUCUCUUUGAUAUCUGUCUCGUUCGAGUAAUUUUUCUUUUCGUAUCCUUCCCUUUAGAAGUUUUAGAUACCAUCAUUCUCACGUACUACUCUGUCUUGCUAUAUAAAUUGUGCACUAUUUUUUCACCAUGAAUGCACUGGCUAGAUUGUGACUCUUCGCCAAUACAACUCUUAAUGCACCUUUCAAGACCAUCAUUCAAAGCUUUGAAUGAUUACACGAUAAAAGAUCCAAAGUGAUUCAUCACAAUUAAAAGUCGUCAUAAAUGCUUACAUGAUACUACUAUAGAACAAGACAACGAAUCAGCCCUAGACAACGAACAAGACAUUACGAAAUUAGAAAACUCCUAAAAUGACUAUGUGAAUGUCCUAUUUUUAGAUAGUUUUAUCUCUAGGUAAUGAUUGUAUAUAAUUUAUAUUUAUAAUAUUAAAAUAAACAUAAAAAUUAAUUCAAAUGAGAUUAUCAAAUCUACUAUAAACCUUUUAUACGAAUAAAAUUAAAAGAUACUAAAAAAAUAUAAACAUUGCAUCAACCAAUUUAUAUACAUGUUUAUUCAUGACAAUAUGCAUCGAUCAAUUUGCAUAAAUAAAUUCUCCACGGCACUUAUAACCAAGACAAGAUAGAAUUGACUCCAUCUCACAGCCCAAAAACAUGCGUCAUCUGAUCCGGAAUAUAAGUAUAUAUUUUCUUGGAUCUGAAAUCCAUGCUUAUUAGCUCAUUACUGCUCUUGAAUUCUUCGUGAUGACUCAUACAAGCUGUAGAAAACUUGACCAAGCAAGCUUACUUUGUUGAUAUAUCUUUCUCUAAUUUGUGCCUAUCACUUGCAUUCUUCUGGUUUGAAUGAUGAAUGCUGCUGUUGUCUAAAGCCACCAUGAGAUAACAGUGCUGGUGUGAAUCUAAAAGAGCCAAGUCUCAUACAAGACCAUGACUCAGAGAGAGAGAGAGAGCAAGUGAGAUCGUAAAACGUGUCUAUUGGAUCUCUGCCAGUGCAGACAUCAACACCACUCUUCUGUAGGGAAACAAGGAACGAAAAGGAAUCCUCCAAUGGCAAUUCUCUGCCUUACUUGAGUCCUAUGCCUACUUCAGGAACAGAGCUGGAGAUAUUUAUAGCAAUUUGGUUAGAUAAAUCCAAAUCAACUCCGAUUCAAAUUAUCAUAUUUUAAUUGAAUCCAAUCGUAUAAAGAUUCAAUUUAUUUCGAUGUUUAAUGAUUGGAUUUGAAAAUCUUACUUGUCAAACCCAACCCAACCCAACCCAACCCAAACUAAUCGUACUACCAUAACCCAAACCCAUCAUUCCGUACCCGCGCCACAGACCUGCUUUGUGAUUGGAGUUGCUGGUAAGUCGGAGGGACUCCUUAUCCGUAUAUGGGACCCGAUGGUUUCCUUAAGCAACAAGCCAGGUAGGUUGGAUGACGUAGCUGAAGUGUCGCUCAACACCCUACGACGAAGUGACAGCCUUCCGUUCAGAUUCACCAAUAAAUCCAAUCUAAAUAAAGUGGAAGGGACAAAAGAAGCAGAGAGGAGGAAGUGCAGGGAUGGUUCUGGAAUUCGAUCCCGCCUUCAUCCAAGCCCCCGAGCACCGCCCCAAGCCCGCCGUCACCGAGGCCGGCGGCAUCCCCCUCAUCGACCUCUCCCCUCUCCACCUCCUCGAACAACACGGGGGACCACUCGUGGCGGGGUUGGAGGUGCUGGUGGCGCAGGUGGAGGCGGCUUGCCGUGACUGGGGCUUCUUCCAGGUGAUCAACCAUGGGGUGCCGCUGGCGGUGGUGGAACGAGCGUGGGCCGCGUCGAGGGGGUUCUUCGCGCUGCCGCCGGAGGAGAGGCGGCGUGUGCGGCGGAACGAGGUGAACCCGCUGGGGUACUACGAGGCGGAGAACACCAAGAACGUCCGGGACUGGAAGG
This 6438-nucleotide long non-coding RNA is filed under the name Musa acuminata (dwarf banana). RNAcentral describes it as "long non-coding RNA (MACU_LNC003816)". Lineage: Eukaryota; Viridiplantae; Streptophyta; Magnoliopsida; Zingiberales; Musaceae. The record is from RNAcentral.